GCCCUAGUAACGGCGAGUGAAGCGGCAACAGCUCAAAUUUGAAAUCUGGCUCUCGGGCCCGAGUUGUAAUUUGUAGAGGAUACUUUUGAUGCGGUGCCUUCCGAGUUCCCUGGAACGGGACGCCAUAGAGGGUGAGAGCCCCGUCUGGUUGGAUGCCAAAUCUCUGUAAAGUUCCUUCAACGAGUCGAGUAGUUUGGGAAUGCUGCUCUAAAUGGGAGGUAUAUGUCUUCUAAAGCUAAAUACCGGCCAGAGACCGAUAGCGCACAAGUAGAGUGAUCGAAAGAUGAAAAGCACUUUGAAAAGAGAGUUAAAAAGUACGUGAAAUUGUUGAAAGGGAAGCGUUUAUGACCAGACUUGGGCUUGGUUAAUCAUCUGGGGUUCUCCCCAGUGCACUUUUCCAGCUCAGGCCAGCAUCAGUUUUCCCCGGGGGAUAAAGGCGGAGGGAAUGUGGCUCUCUUCGGGGAGUGUUAUAGCCCACCGUGUAAUACCCUGGGGGGGACUGAGGUUCGCGCAUCUGCAAGGAUGCUGGCGUAAUGGUCAUCAACGACCCGUCUUGAAACACGGACCAAGGAGUCGUCUUCGUAUGCGAGUGUUCGGGUGUCAAACCCCUACGCGUAAUUAAAGUGAACGCAGGUGAGAGCUUCGGCGCAUCAUCGACCGAUCCUGAUGUUCUCGGAUGGAUUUGAGUAAGAGCAUACGGGGCCGGACCCGAAAGAAGGUGAACUAUGCCUGUAUAGGGUGAAGCCAGAGGAAACUCUGGUGGAGGCUCGCAGCGGUUCUGACGUGCAAAUCGAUCGUCAAAUAUGGGCAUGGGGGCGAAAGACUAAUCGAACCUUCUAGUAGCUGGUUUCCGCCGAAGUUUCCCUCAGGAUAGCAGUGUUGAACUCAGUUUUAUGAGGUAAAGCGAAUGA
RNAcentral lists this ribosomal RNA (911 nucleotides) under Fusarium oxysporum f. sp. dianthi. RNAcentral describes it as "partial large subunit ribosomal RNA". It matches the Rfam family "Eukaryotic large subunit ribosomal RNA", at positions 77 to 1020 of the family's 3401-position model. The record is from RNAcentral. Lineage: Eukaryota; Fungi; Ascomycota; Sordariomycetes; Hypocreales; Nectriaceae.